GCCCAGCUACCCUCAGCCCUGCCGCCGGGACGGCGGCGAGCGGUCGCUCGCCCACUGAAGGACCUCACCAAGAGGACAGCCCUUCGGGCUACGCAACGCCACGGGGGCUUACGGACGCCUCCUAGCGCGGUCCUUGACCACGUCGCCCGCGAGCAGCGAGCUCGUAGGCGCGGCAAGGACAAUCUCUGACGCUGGCUCCAGCAGCGGGAGUCCCCACCCCUC
Molecule: long non-coding RNA, 222 nt
Filed under: Setaria italica (foxtail millet)
Lineage: Eukaryota; Viridiplantae; Streptophyta; Magnoliopsida; Poales; Poaceae
Description: long non-coding RNA (SITA_LNC001162)
Source: RNAcentral